RNAcentral lists this unclassified non-coding RNA (411 nucleotides) under uncultured Glomus. Its description in RNAcentral is "SSU rRNA". It matches the Rfam family "Eukaryotic small subunit ribosomal RNA", at positions 569 to 985 of the family's 1831-position model. The record is from RNAcentral. Lineage: Eukaryota; Fungi; Glomeromycota; Glomeromycetes; Glomerales; Glomeraceae.
AGCAGCCGCGGUAAUUCCAGCUCCAAUAGCGUAUAUUAAAGUUGUUGCAGUUAAAAGCUCGUAGUUGAAUUUCGGAAUCUGUCCAUCGGUCGGGCUUCACUGUCCGUACUGGUGUGGUGGGUUCUUACCUUCUGAAUAACCAGCAUGCCAUUCACUUGGUGCGCUGGGGAAGCAGGACUAUUACCUUGAAAAAUUGAGUGCUCAAAGCAGGCUAGUGCCUGAAUACAUUAGCAUGGAAUAAUAAAAUAGGACGGCAUGGUUUUAUUUUGUUGGUUUCUAGGAUCACCGUAAUGAUUAAUAGGGAUAGUUGGGGGCAUUAGUAUUCAAUUGUCAGAGGUGAAAUUCUUGGAUUUAUUGAAGACUAACUUCUGCGAAAGCAUUUGCCAAGGAUGUUUUCAUUAAUCAAGAACG